GACGAACGCUGGCGGCGUGCUUAACACAUGCAAGUCGAACGCUGAAGACCUGGCUUUUGUUGGGUUGGAUGAGUGGCGAACGGGUGAGUAACACGUGAGUAACCUGCCCUCUUCUUUGGGAUAACGCCCGGAAACGGGUGCUAAUACUGGAUAUUCACUGAUCUUCGCAUGGGGGUUGGUGGAAAGGUUUUUUCUGGUGGGGUAUGGGCUCGCGGCCUAUCAGCUUGUUGGUGGGGUGAUGGCCUACCAAGGCUUUGACGGGUAGCCGGCCUGAGAGGGUGACCGGUCACAUUGGGACUGAGAUACGGCCCAGACUCCUACGGGAGGCAGCAGUGGGGAAUAUUGCACAAUGGGCGAAAGCCUGAUGCAGCGACGCGGCGUGAGGGAUGGAGGCCUUCGGGUUGUAAACCUCUUUCGCUAAUGGUCAAGCCGCAACUGUGGGUUGUGGUGAGGGUAGUGGGUAAAGAAGCGCCGGCUAACUACGUG
Molecule: ribosomal RNA, 486 nt
Filed under: uncultured bacterium
Lineage: Bacteria
Description: partial 16S ribosomal RNA
Rfam family: Bacterial small subunit ribosomal RNA
Source: RNAcentral